RNAcentral lists this long non-coding RNA (207 nucleotides) under Elaeis guineensis (African oil palm). Its description in RNAcentral is "long non-coding RNA (EGUI_LNC051339)". Lineage: Eukaryota; Viridiplantae; Streptophyta; Magnoliopsida; Arecales; Arecaceae. The record is from RNAcentral.
UAUUAUGAAUGGCAUAGAACUUCUCCUUUUCUACCAAGAUCGAUAGAUUUCAUCUAGAUGCAUCCUACUCCAAACAGCGAACUUGAACCUACAUAGCCAAUAUACACAACAAGGACCCAUAUGGCUAGGGAUCAAAGAAACGUACAGUCAAACUAUGUAGCCUUACUACGAAUAGCCAACACAUCGCAGGUCAAAAGACUAGUCAUA